RNAcentral lists this ribosomal RNA (462 nucleotides) under uncultured bacterium. RNAcentral's name for it is "partial 16S ribosomal RNA". It matches the Rfam family "Bacterial small subunit ribosomal RNA", at positions 28 to 507 of the family's 1533-position model. The record is from RNAcentral.
GACGAACGCUGGCGGCGUGCUUAACACAUGCAAGUCGAACGGAAAGGCCCUUCGGGGUACUCGAGUGGCGAACGGGUGAGUAACACGUGGGUGAUCUGCCCUGCACUUUGGGAUAAGCCUGGGAAACUGGGUCUAAUACCGGAUAGGACCACGGCAUUCAUGUGCUGUGGUGGAAAGCUUUUGCGGUGUGGGAUGGGCCCGCGGCCUAUCAGCUUGUUGGUGGGGUAAUGGCCUACCAAGGCGACGACGGGUAGCCGGCCUGAGAGGGUGACCGGCCACACUGGGACUGAGGUACGGCCCAGACUCCUACGGGAGGCAGCAGUGGGGAAUAUUGCACAAUGGGCGCAAGCCUGAUGCAGCGACGCCGCGUGAGGGAUGACGGCCUUCGGGUUGUAAACCUCUUUCGCCAGGGACGAAGCGCAAGUGACGGUACCUGGAGAAGAAGGACCGGCCAACUACGUG